This 253-nucleotide ribosomal RNA is filed under the name uncultured bacterium. Its description in RNAcentral is "partial 16S ribosomal RNA". It matches the Rfam family "Bacterial small subunit ribosomal RNA", at positions 524 to 776 of the family's 1533-position model. The record is from RNAcentral.
UACGUAGGGACCAAGCGUUGUUCGGAUUUACUGGGCGUAAAGGGCGCGUAGGCGGCUUGACAAGUCACUUGUGAAAUCCCCGGGCUUAACCUGGGAAUGGCAUUUGGGACUGCAAGGCUCGAGUGCGGCAGAGGAGACUGGAAUUCCUGGUGUAGCAGUGAAAUGCGUAGAUAUCAGGAGGAACACCGAUGGCGAAGGCAGGUCUCUGGGCUGACACUGACGCUCAUGCACGAAAGCGUGGGGAGCAAACAGG